AAAUUGAAGAGUUUGAUCAUGGCUCAGAUUGAACGCUGGCGGCAGGCCUAACACAUGCAAGUCGAACGGUAGCACAGAGAGCUUGCUCUCGGGUGACGAGUGGCGGACGGGUGAGUAAUGUCUGGGAAACUGCCUGAUGGAGGGGGAUAACUACUGGAAACGGUGGCUAAUACCGCAUAACGUCGCAAGACCAAAGAGGGGGACCUUCGGGCCUCUUGCCAUCAGAUGUGCCCAGAUGGGAUUAGCUAGUUGGUGAGGUAACGGCUCACCAAGGCGACGAUCCCUAGCUGGUCUGAGAGGAUGACCAGCCACACUGGAACUGAGACACGGUCCAGACUCCUACGGGAGGCAGCAGUGGGGAAUAUUGCACAAUGGGCGCAAGCCUGAUGCAGCCAUGCCGCGUGUAUGAAGAAGGCCUUCGGGUUGUAAAGUACUUUCAGCGGGGAGGAAGGUGUUGUGGUUAAUAACCGCAGCAAUUGACGUUACCCGCAGAAGAAGCACCGGCUAACUCCGUGCCAGCAGCCGCGGUAAUACGGAGGGUGCAAGCGUUAAUCGGAAUUACUGGGCGUAAAGCGCACGCAGGCGGUCUGUCAAGUCGGAUGUGAAAUCCCCGGGCUCAACCUGGGAACUGCAUUCGAAACUGGCAGGCUUGAGUCUUGUAGAGGGGGGUAGAAUUCCAGGUGUAGCGGUGAAAUGCGUAGAGAUCUGGAGGAAUACCGGUGGCGAAGGCGGCCCCCUGGACAAAGACUGACGCUCAGGUGCGAAAGCGUGGGGAGCAAACAGGAUUAGAUACCCUGGUAGUCCACGCCGUAAACGAUGUCUACUUGGAGGUUGUGCCCUUGAGGCGUGGCUUCCGGAGCUAACGCGUUAAGUAGACCGCCUGGGGAGUACGGCCGCAAGGUUAAAACUCAAAUGAAUUGACGGGGGCCCGCACAAGCGGUGGAGCAUGUGGUUUAAUUCGAUGCAACGCGAAGAACCUUACCUGGUCUUGACAUCCACGGAAAUUUUCAGAGAUGAGAAUGUGCCUUCGGGAACCGUG
This 1039-nucleotide ribosomal RNA is filed under the name Salmonella enterica subsp. enterica serovar Muenchen. Its description in RNAcentral is "bacterial SSU rRNA". It matches the Rfam family "Bacterial small subunit ribosomal RNA", at positions 1 to 1031 of the family's 1533-position model. Lineage: Bacteria; Pseudomonadati; Pseudomonadota; Gammaproteobacteria; Enterobacterales; Enterobacteriaceae. The record is from RNAcentral. RNAcentral also lists the same sequence under 1 other name.